This 477-nucleotide ribosomal RNA is filed under the name Candidatus Scalindua brodae. RNAcentral's name for it is "bacterial SSU rRNA". It matches the Rfam family "Bacterial small subunit ribosomal RNA", at positions 365 to 832 of the family's 1533-position model. The record is from RNAcentral. Lineage: Bacteria; Pseudomonadati; Planctomycetota; Candidatus Brocadiia; Candidatus Brocadiales; Candidatus Scalinduaceae.
UUCGCAAUGCCCGAAAGGGUGACGAAGCGACGCCGCGUGGGUGAGGAAGGCCUUCGGGUUGUAAAGCCCUGUCAGGAGUUAAGAAAUGUAAGUGCGCUAAUAUCGCAUUUAUUUGACGAAGGCUCCAAAGGAAGUCACGGCUAACUCUGUGCCAGCAGCCGCGGUAAUACAGAGGUGGCAAGCGUUGUUCGGAAUUAUUGGGCGUAAAGAGCACGUAGGUGGGUUUGUAAGUCAGAUGUGAAAGCCUUCUGUUCAACGGAAGAAUUGCAUCUGAAACUGCGAGUCUUGAGUGUAGGAGGGGAGAAUGGAACUUCUGGUGGAGCGGUGAAAUGCGUAGAUAUCAGAAGGAACGCCGGCGGCGAAAGCGAUUCUCUGGCCUAUUACUGACGCUCAGUGUGCGAAAGCUAGGGGAGCAAACGGGAUUAGAUACCCCGGUAGUUCUAGCCGUAAACGAUGGGCACUAAGUAGAGGGGUUUU